Molecule: long non-coding RNA, 2486 nt
Organism: Haplochromis burtoni (Burton's mouthbrooder)
Lineage: Eukaryota; Metazoa; Chordata; Actinopteri; Cichliformes; Cichlidae
Exons: 2
Source: RefSeq, a predicted model, not a curated record
UUGCCUGGAAAAUGAGAAGAAAAACACCUCUUUAAAUAUACUAAAAUAAUAAAUAAUCUUUUUUAGAAGAUGAAGGGGGCCAGCUACAUGGCAGGGCUCAGUUGGGAACAAAUGGGACCUAAUUUUUGAAAAUUGCAAGUGGUUCAAACAUUGCAAAAUGUACACAGUUCAUGAGGCCUAGAAAUAAACAUUGGUGGAUUAGAGAAAGAUUGUUUCAAAACAUAACAAAUAAUUGUUAAUCUAAAGAAAGCAUUGGCGCUAUAUCAAUAAAGCUAAAAUCAAAUGAACAGGAUAUAAUGCAUGUCAACAAGUGGAGAAACAGUGGGUGCUGUUUGGCUUCUGAUUAGAACCCCUUGUUAUAACAUAAAUCAGGUGAUGAGCCACAGGUAAAGGAAAGUCUUUAGUACUCCGAAUCCUCUAAUGUCAUAUGGUAUGCAGGGCGAAAUUAUAUUUAAAUUUUAUAAAACAUGAAAAACAUAAAUAACAUGUCACUAUAUUGUAAAAAAAGAAUGUAUGCCUUGGUGUUCUGCAAAAGCCUCUGUGAGAUACUGGCACUCCUGCUGGAUGGAUGACUCCAGGGUCUUCUUCCCCAGACCAAAGUUUCUGAAUGUGUGAAGAGCAAAUCUCCUCUGUUGCAUCCAGGGAUAACCAUUUCACAUCACAAGACCUUUGGGAAAUAAAAAAAUAAUGUAGACCUGAUCUUUAGAUCUUUAGAGGGAAAAAUGCAACUAUUUUUAUCAAACACUACCUUUAUUCCCUGAAAUUGAUUCAAAUAAGGGCAUAGUUGGGCGAUCCAUGAAGUCUUCUCCUUGGUGAACCAGGGCUUCUUUCACAAGUUUGUAGCCAUGAACGACCACAAUCCUACCACCAAAGAGUCGAAGGCUGAAAAUGUUUCCAUAUUUCUCUGCAAACUGAACACAGACGGCAUAUUGUUGUUUUGGGGGUAAGUCAUAUUGUGGAACCAUUAAAUAAAUCCUCCAAAUGCCUUAGCUUUAACUUGACAUAAAUCUUAAAUCCACUUAAUAGGAACAUAUACACAGAACAACUAAUGACUAAUGAUCUAUCUCUGACUAGAUACAUCCUGAGAACAGGUCACAGGUUAACUUGUAACCUGAAUCACUGAUAGCGCUGCAGUCCCACCUCAUGCUGAACAUUCCAGCUGUCUUGCCACCUGUUCCUCUUUCCCUCAUGUUCCUGCCAUUGAGGAUGUCCACAAGAAGAGAUGUCUACGCCGAGCAUACUUCAUUCUCAGGGACUCCUCUCAUCCUGCCAAUAAACUCUUCCAGCUCCUCCCCUCUGGAAGACUCUACAGGACCCUACAGACUAAAACCAGCAGGUUUAGGAACAGCUUCUUCCCCACAGCUGUCACCCUACUGAACUCAGUCCCCUGCUGCUUCCAUCCACACUAAUUCUCCAUCCAUAACCCCUUAUCCCUCUCAGGGACCAUGAUCAUGAUUCACAUUCAUUUGUAACAUUCACCAUAUGCUCAUAUUGGUUAAUACUGUAGUUUAGGACACUGACAUAGUAUGCUCUCUGGUACAGUGCAUACACUGUUAGCUAUUAUAGUCUACUCAGAGCGCUACACUCCUACUGCUGUAGAUAUACUCAUAGGACUCUGUAAAUCUGUUUACCUUACAGCAGCACAUUGGUACAUAUGUAGCACAUCUGUAUAUAUUUAGAUAAUCUGUAUAUUUGUUCAUAGUACAUCUGUAUAUCUGCCCAUCUGUAUAGGAAUGUAGAACAUCUGUAUGCUACACAGAUCAUCUGUAUAUCUGUACAUAUGUCUGUAGUUCAUCUGUAUACUUCGUCUCUCCGUACAUAAUCUGUUCAUAACCAUUCCACCCUUUAUACAGUGGCUUGCAAAAGUAUCGGUCUUUCAUGUGGAAUUCCAAUAAAAUUGAUUCAUGUUUGUGGCUGUAAUGUGACAAAAUGUGGAAAAGUUCAAGGGGGGUGAAUACUUUUGCAAGCCACUGUAGUACCCUUAUCUGUAUAUAUUAGUAUAUCCGUACAUCUGCCUGUAGUACAUCUGUAUAUUUGCUUAACUUAUCUGUAUGUAAUCUGCUCUUAUUGCACUUACUACUCUUGCACUUGUUAUUAGAUGCAAACUGUAUUUCGUUACCCUGUAUUCAUAGCUGUGUAAUGACGAUAAAGUUGAAUCCAGUCAUAAUCCUAAUCACUUUGCAAUAUGUAACAUGUGCAAUGUUAUAUAUUACUGUAUAUAUAAAAUCCAUAUUUAUUCUUGAGUAUGUACUUAGCACCGGAGAACUGUGCACUUUUACCUUUUCUUUUUUCUUUUUUUUUGUUUGCAUGUUUCCACUGGGCAGAAGUUUCUUUCAAUCUCAUUGUACAUAGAUCUAUUCUAUUCUAUUCUAUUAUCAACAUAGCACUUGUAGCUAGUGGGACAUGAUGAUUUGCUUCUGUCUGCUUACUGUCUGGGAUGGAAGAUGACAAAGAGUUAUUAAAAGUGGGCCAACAUUUCUCUACAA